AUUGAACGCUGGCGGCAGGCCUAACACAUGCAAGUCGAACGGUAACAGGAAGCAGCUUGCUGCUUCGCUGACGAGUGGCGGGCGGGUGAGUCAUGUCUGGGAAACUGCCUGAUGGGGGGGGAUAACUACUGGAAACGGUAGCUAAUACCGCAUAACGUCGCAAGCCCAAAGAGGGGGACCUUAGGGCCUCUUGCCAUCGGAUGUGCCCAGAUGGGAUUAGCUAGUAGGUGGGGUAACGGCUCACCUAGGCGACGAUCCCUAGCUGGUCUGAGAGGAUGACCGGCCACACUGGAACUGAGACACGGCCCAGACCCCUACGGGAGGCACCAGAGGGGAAUAUUGCACAAUGGGCGCAAGCCUGAUGCAGCCAUGCCGCGUGUAUGAAGAAGGUCUUCGGGUUGUAAAGUACUUUCAGCGGGGAGGAAGGGAGUAAAGUUAAUACCUUUGCUCAUUGACGUUACCCGCAGAAGAAGCACCGGCUAACUCCGUG
RNAcentral lists this ribosomal RNA (490 nucleotides) under uncultured bacterium. Its description in RNAcentral is "partial 16S ribosomal RNA". It matches the Rfam family "Bacterial small subunit ribosomal RNA", at positions 30 to 507 of the family's 1533-position model. The record is from RNAcentral.